GAUGAACGCUGGCGGCGUGCCUAAUACAUGCAAGUCGAGCGAACAGACGAGGAGCUUUCUCCUCUGACGUUAGCGGCGGACGGGUGAGUAACACGUGGAUAACCUACCUAUAAGACUGGGAUAACUUCGGGAAACCGGAGCUAAUACCGGAUAAUAUAUUGAACCGCAUGGUUCAAUAGUGAAAGACGGUUUUGCUGUCACUUAUAGAUGGAUCCGCGCCGCAUUAGCUAGUUGGUAAGGUAACGGCUUACCAAGGCAACGAUGCGUAGCCGACCUGAGAGGGGGAUCGGCGACACUGGAACUGAGACACGGUCCAGACUCCUACGGGAGGCAGCAGUAGGGAAUCUUCCGCAAUGGGCGAAAGCUUGACGGAGCAACGCCGCGUGAGUGAUGAAGGUCUUCGGAUCGUAAAACUCUGUUAUUAGGGAAGAACAAAUGUGUAAGUAACUAUGCACGUCUUGACGGUACCCAAUCAGAAAGCCACGGCUAACUACGUG
This 497-nucleotide ribosomal RNA is filed under the name uncultured bacterium. RNAcentral describes it as "partial 16S ribosomal RNA". It matches the Rfam family "Bacterial small subunit ribosomal RNA", at positions 28 to 507 of the family's 1533-position model. The record is from RNAcentral.